This 977-nucleotide non-coding RNA is filed under the name Spermophilus dauricus (Daurian ground squirrel). RNAcentral's name for it is "12S ribosomal RNA". It matches the Rfam family "Bacterial small subunit ribosomal RNA". Lineage: Eukaryota; Metazoa; Chordata; Mammalia; Rodentia; Sciuridae. The record is from RNAcentral.
UAUAGGUUUGGUCCUAGCCUUUCCAUUAGCUUCUAGCUAACUUAUACAUGCAAGAAUCCCCGCUCCAGUGAGAAUGCCCUCUAUAUCUACUAAUUUGAUCAAAAGGUGCAGGCAUCAAGUUCACUAAUCUCAGUAGCUCACAACGCCUUGCUUCACCACACCCCCACGGGAUACAGCAGUAAUUAAAAUUAAGCCUAUAAACGAAAGUUUGACUAAGUUAAGCUAUAACAAGGGUUGGUAAAUUUCGUGCCAGCCACCGCGGUCAUACGAUUAACCCUAGUUAAUGAAAUACGGCGUAAAGCGUGAUUAAGAGACUAAUUAAAUAAGAUUAAAAUAGUACUAAACCGUAAAAAGUCUUGGUUACCACAAUGAAAAUCAAACACGAAAGUAAUCUUAAAUUUUCUGAACUCACGAUAGCUAAGACCCAAACUGGGAUUAGAUACCCCACUAUGCUUAGCCCUAAACAUAAACAUUUAACAAACAAAAAUGUUCGCCAGAGUACUACUAGCAAUAGCCUAAAACUCAAAGGACUUGGCGGUGCUUUAAACCCCACUAGAGGAGCCUGUUCUAUAAUCGAUAAACCCCGAUACACCUCACCACCUUUAGCAAAUAUCAGCCUAUAUACCGCCAUCUACAGCAAACCCUAAAAAGGUCUUAUAGUAAGCAAGAAAAUUUUGCAUUAAUACGUUAGGUCAAGGUGUAGCCUAUAAGGUGGGAAGUAAUGGGCUACAUUUUCUACUUUCCUAGAACAAAUACCCACGACAGCUUUUAUGAAACCUAGAGCAUAAGGCGGAUUUAGUAGUAAGUUAAGAAUAGAGAGCUUAACUGAAUAGGGCAAUAGAGCACGCACACACCGCCCGUCACCCUCUUCAAAUAUACCCAAUAAUUAACCAUACAUAAUUUAUUUAACCAAAAUGUAUACAAGAAGAGAUAAGUCGUAACAAGGUAAACAUACUGGAAAGUGUGUUUGGAAGAAU